This 254-nucleotide ribosomal RNA is filed under the name uncultured bacterium. RNAcentral describes it as "partial 16S ribosomal RNA". It matches the Rfam family "Bacterial small subunit ribosomal RNA", at positions 524 to 776 of the family's 1533-position model. The record is from RNAcentral.
UACGUAGGGGGGCAAGCGUUGUCCGGAUUUAUUGGGCGUAAAGAGCGUGUAGGCGGUUUGGUAGGUCCGUUGUGAAAACUCGAGGCUCAACCUCGAGACGUCGGUUGAAACCGUUUGGCUAGAGUCCGGAAGAGGAGAGUGGAAUUCCCGGUGUAGCGGUGAAAUGCGCAGAUAUCGGGAAGAACACCCGUGGCGAAGGCGGCUCUCUGGGACGGUACUGACGCUGAGACGCGAAAGCGUGGGGAGCGAACAGG